UAAGUUUUGUUUGGUUAUUUGCUGUAGCAAAAUGUCGCAUUACGUCAUCUGUUCUUUAUUCUGAAGGGAACUAUAUCUUGAACUAUUGUCACGAGGCAUGUAUCCAGUCUCUGUGUUUAAAUGUUAUCGACUUGAGUGGCAAAAAAAAAAAAAAAAAAAAAAAAAAACGGAGAUGCAAGAUAAUAACUUUUUAAAACUACAAAAACAAUAA
Molecule: long non-coding RNA, 211 nt
Filed under: Helianthus annuus (common sunflower)
Lineage: Eukaryota; Viridiplantae; Streptophyta; Magnoliopsida; Asterales; Asteraceae
Description: hypothetical non coding rna
Source: RNAcentral